UAGCUCAGUUGGUAGAGCAGUGGACUGAAAAUCCUCGUGUCACCAGUUCAAAUCUGGUUCUUGGCAUUAAUAA
This 73-nucleotide transfer RNA is filed under the name Dichotomaria marginata. RNAcentral describes it as "tRNA-Phe". It matches the Rfam family "tRNA". Rfam says of the family: Transfer RNA (tRNA) molecules are approximately 80 nucleotides in length. Their secondary structure includes four short double-helical elements and three loops (D, anti-codon, and T loops). Further hydrogen bonds mediate the characteristic L-shaped molecular structure. tRNAs have two regions of fundamental functional importance: the anti-codon, which is responsible for specific mRNA codon recognition, and the 3' end, to which the tRNAs corresponding amino acid is attached (by aminoacyl-tRNA synthetases). tRNAs cope with the degeneracy of the genetic code in two manners: having more than one tRNA (with a specific anti-codon) for a particular amino acid; and 'wobble' base-pairing, i.e. permitting non-standard base-pairing at the 3rd anti-codon position. Lineage: Eukaryota; Rhodophyta; Florideophyceae; Nemaliales; Galaxauraceae. The record is from RNAcentral.